RNAcentral lists this ribosomal RNA (245 nucleotides) under uncultured bacterium. Its description in RNAcentral is "partial 16S ribosomal RNA". It matches the Rfam family "Bacterial small subunit ribosomal RNA", at positions 524 to 768 of the family's 1533-position model. The record is from RNAcentral.
UACGUAGGGGGCGAGCGUUGUCCGGAUUUAUUGGGCGUAAAGAGCGUGUAGGCGGCCAGUCAGGUCCGUUGUGAAAACUCGAGGCUCAACCUCGAGACGUCGAUGGAAACCGUCUGGCUAGAGUCCGGAAGAGGAGAGCGGAAUUCCUGGUGUAACGGUGAAAUGUGCAGAUAUCAGGAAGAACACCCGUGGCGAAGGCGGCUCUCUGGGACGGUACUGACGCUGAGACGCGAAAGCGUGGGGAG